GACUAGCUCAGUUGGUUAGUGUGUGGAGCUGAUAACAGCAAGGCUGCAGGUUCGAUCCCCAUAAGAGACA
Podarcis lilfordi (Lilford's wall lizard) is the source of this 70-nucleotide non-coding RNA. Lineage: Eukaryota; Metazoa; Chordata; Lepidosauria; Squamata; Lacertidae. The record is from the annotation of a GenBank genome assembly.